AAGGAUACCUAUGAACCAUAAAGUAGCAUUGCCCCAUCUCGAGAAAGAAAACCCCAAAACCAAAACCAAGAUCUAUAGAUCUUACUGCGUAUUCAGCUGCGGAGCUCUGAGAGGCACAAGUGACUGCAAAGGAAAGAUAAAAGGAUAAGAAACACAUCUUUUUGAAUGUCCUUGCUCAUGAAAGCCUACAGUUAUUUCAGUUCCAGAGCUUACUCCCAGAAAAGGAUCAAAUUAUAAAAUUGGAAAAAUGGUGAAAAGGAAAGUAUAUCCACCCUGAUCCACAUAUUAGUGUAAAUAAUUAGCUUCACUGCUUAAAAAUGUAGAUUGAAUUAAAUCAUCAGGCAUCUUUUAGUGAUACAUAGUUUCACAUUAUAGCUUGAAAAAUAAAUAAUGGGAGGUGUUGAUGGAUAACUAUUAGAUUUCAUGGAGAUGAAUUGGCAAAAAGAAAAGACAAUGGUAUGAAUGGUAAUGAUAACCAAUCCUAUUGUAAUGAUGUUUCAUUUCCCCGAAAAAUAAUUAUAUAAAUUAGAGGUGCACAUCAAAUAUGGACAAGUGUCCAAACCAGAGCCUAUAUGUGUGUGUGUGUACACUUGAUGAUGUUCUCAAAUUUUGACUUGUGUUCUACAUAGAAGGGUUUAUUAUUAUAACAGAAUUAAUUAUGCUGUUAUAAAACACUGUUAUUAAAAAAACCUCUCGUUUUGAGAAUAUAUUCUGCUGAUAAUG
Molecule: non-coding RNA, 723 nt
Organism: Pantherophis guttatus
Lineage: Eukaryota; Metazoa; Chordata; Lepidosauria; Squamata; Colubridae
Source: RefSeq, a predicted model, not a curated record